RNAcentral lists this transfer RNA (74 nucleotides) under Marmota monax (woodchuck). RNAcentral's name for it is "tRNA.Ala". Lineage: Eukaryota; Metazoa; Chordata; Mammalia; Rodentia; Sciuridae. The record is from RNAcentral.
GCUGGAGUUGUGGUUCAGUGGUAGAAUGCUUGCCUAGCAUGUGUGAGGCCCUGGGUUGGAUUCUCAGCCCUGCA